Molecule: ribosomal RNA, 630 nt
Filed under: Papiliotrema laurentii
Lineage: Eukaryota; Fungi; Basidiomycota; Tremellomycetes; Tremellales; Rhynchogastremaceae
Description: eukaryotic LSU rRNA
Rfam family: Eukaryotic large subunit ribosomal RNA
Source: RNAcentral
UAAGCGGAGGAAAAGAAACUAACAAGGAUUCCCCUAGUAACGGCGAGUGAACCGGGAAGAGCUCAAAUUUGAAAUCUGGCGUCCUCAGGGCGUCCGAGUUGUAAUCUAUAGAGGCGUUUUCCGUGCCGGACCGUGUCCAAGUUCCUUGGAACAGGAUAUCAAAGAGGGUGACAAUCCCGUACUUGACACGACGACCGGUGCUCUGUGAUACGUCUUCUACGAGUCGAGUUGUUUGGGAAUGCAGCUCAAAAUGGGUGGUGAGUUCCAUCUAAAGCUAAAUAUUGGCGAGAGACCGAUAGCGAACAAGUACCGUGAGGGAAAGAUGAAAAGCACUUUGGAAAGAGAGUUAAACAGUACGUGAAAUUGUUGAAAGGGAAACGAUUGAAGUCAGUCGUGACCGAGAGGCUCAGCCGGUUCUGCCGGUGUAUUCCCCUCGGUCGGGUCAACAUCAGUUUUGUCCGGUGGAUAAGGACGGUAGGAAGGUGGCACCCUCGGGUGUGUUAUAGCCUGCCGUCGCAUACAUCGGGUGAGACUGAGGAACGCAGCUCGCCUUUAUGGCCGGGGUUCGCCCACGUCCGAGCUUAGGAUGUUGACAUAAUGGCUUUAAACGACCCGUCUUGAAACACGGAC